RNAcentral lists this long non-coding RNA (1344 nucleotides) under Callithrix jacchus (white-tufted-ear marmoset). RNAcentral describes it as "lncRNA (ENSCJAG00000070870.1)". Lineage: Eukaryota; Metazoa; Chordata; Mammalia; Primates; Cebidae. The record is from RNAcentral.
AUCAUAAGAUGGUUCAUGUACAAAUGUAGAGUUUACUUUUCCUACAUUCACUCCAAUCUGGUAAUGUGAGACUCCUGAAGUAGGAUUUUAACCUUGAAUCUUGUUUAGAAUUGUUUCUUUCAGUGGCACUCAGGAAAGAUCACAACAGUUGUGGAGUUACUACAUAAAGAGGCUUCUACUCCCCAAGGGAGGAGGAACCAGCUAAAUCUAAGAACGGCACAAAAUUAACUCACAAAGAAGAAUUAAAAACAGAAGAUGUUUACCUACGUUAACGAACCUGCACAUCCUGCAUGUGUAUCCUGGAACUUAAAAAAAAAUCAAAACUUUUAAAAAGGAAUAAAAAAACAGGACCUUUCGUUUCACACACAGAUGAAAUAUUUUAAAAAAAGCAGAAGUAAGCAACAAGGUUAAAUUUUUUUUUGACACCCAUCUCCUAUUUUGAUGCUUUCACUAAGGAGUUUGAAUCUGUACUCACAAGUCUGGUUGUCCCUCUGAGUUCCUGGUGCUCUCUUGUCAGAAAGAAUACUUGCCCACUCUGUUCUGUGUUCUUUGUGAGUGCUUUGCUCCGUAUGCUUCUUGGGUGAGUGACUGAUCUAGAGAAUCUGACUUUCCAUUACUCUAAGGGCCAGAUACGGUUGGAAGAACAAAAGAAAACAUGGAAGGGAAACUGAAGGUAAAUAUUUGUUCCUUUUCCUAAGCUACUGCCACUCGGGCGGGGGGAGGGAUUUUGUUUUUAAUGCAUAUUGACAGCACGCUUUACUUAGUAGCUAGCUUCCAUUUGUGUAGAUUCUACCUAAUGUAACUUCUUUUUUGCCUAAGAAUUUGCAAGACUAUUAGUUCUUCAAAGUCAAUUUUUUAAAAUGCACAAGUUAUAAAUACAGAAGAAAGAUCAACCCCCCAAACCUAACAAGGACCCCGAACAUUUUCAUAUUAAGACUGUAAGUAGAUGUCAGUUCAGCGUUUAUUGUAAGUUGGUCAAAACAUCUGGAAGAAAAUGACUAAAACUGCAUCUUUGUAUGUAUUUAUUACUUGAUGUAAUAAAGCUUAUUUUCAUUAACAACUUGUAUAUAAAAAGAAGAAAUGACAGAUGAGCUUUAUAAAGGGGAGUGCUAAUAUUCAGCAAGCAAACACCAGUAUUUCAUUAGUUCGAAAGCACUAGCUUUUAUAAGGUCUUUGAUCAAGUUGGUGUAGAUAGAAAAUAUCCUCUUUGACACAGGUUUCGUCAGAUACAACGCUAUAGAACGCAAGAUUGCUGAUUAAAGAUCUUCAGUUAAUCCAUCCAUUUGGAACUUUAGUUGGUCAUGAAUAAUUUCAUUGUUCUUUCUUUUUGCUCCUUUUUAAACC